Molecule: ribosomal RNA, 569 nt
Filed under: Trichosporon sp. D54
Lineage: Eukaryota; Fungi; Basidiomycota; Tremellomycetes; Trichosporonales; Trichosporonaceae
Description: eukaryotic LSU rRNA
Rfam family: 5.8S ribosomal RNA (bases 181-334)
Source: RNAcentral
UGGAAGUAAAAGUCGUAACAAGGUUUCCGUAGGUGAACCUGCGGAAGGAUCAUUAGUGAUUGCCUUUAUAAGGCUUUAAACUAUAUCCACAUACACCUGUGAACUGUUCUACUACUUGACGCAAGUCGAGUAUUUUUACAAACAAUGUGUAAUGAACGUCGUUUUAUUAUAACAAAAUAAAACUUUCAACAACGGAUCUCUUGGCUCUCGCAUCGAUGAAGAACGCAGCGAAUUGCGAUAAGUAAUGUGAAUUGCAGAAUUCAGUGAAUCAUCGAAUCUUUGAACGCACCUUGCGCUCUCUGGUAUUCCGGAGAGCAUGCCUGUUUCAGUGUCAUGAAAUCUCAACCACUAGGGUUUCCUAAUGGAUUGGAUUUGGGCGUCUGCGAUCUCUGUAUCGCUCGCCUUAAAAGAGUUAGCAAGUUUGACAUUAAUGUCUGGUGUAAUAAGUUUCACUGGGUCCAUUGUGUUGAAGCGUGCUUCUAAUCGUCCGCAAGGACAAUUACUUUGACUCUGGCCUGAAAUCAGGUAGGACUACCCGCUGAACUUAAGCAUAUCAAUAAGCGGAGGAA